RNAcentral lists this ribosomal RNA (301 nucleotides) under uncultured bacterium. RNAcentral describes it as "partial 16S ribosomal RNA". It matches the Rfam family "Bacterial small subunit ribosomal RNA", at positions 509 to 808 of the family's 1533-position model. The record is from RNAcentral.
CAGCCGCCGCGGUAAUACGUAGGUGGCAAGCGUUGUCCGGAAUUAUUGGGCGUAAAGGGCUCGCAGGCGGUUUCUUAAGUCUGAUGUGAAAGCCCCCGGCUCAACCGGGGAGGGUCAUUGGAAACUGGGAAACUUGAGUGCAGAAGAGGAGAGUGGAAUUCCACGUGUAGCGGUGAAAUGCGUAGAGAUGUGGAGGAACACCAGUGGCGAAGGCGACUCUCUGGUCUGUAACUGACGCUGAGGAGCGAAAGCGUGGGGAGCGAACAGGAUUAGAUACCCGGGUAGUCCCUGUCUCUUUACA